Molecule: long non-coding RNA, 605 nt
Organism: Bubalus bubalis (water buffalo)
Lineage: Eukaryota; Metazoa; Chordata; Mammalia; Artiodactyla; Bovidae
Exons: 2
Source: RefSeq, a predicted model, not a curated record
GUGCCUCAGGACCGAGGGAGGGUUUUCUUUGUCUGCAAAAGGCUGGGGCUUGUUUAAAAGCCUCGGGGAGAGGCUGGAAGGAUGGGGGUGAGGUGGGAGGAGCAGGUAGAUGAAUUGAUGUGGGAGAGGUCUGGAGCCCUGGAGGAGAGGUCAGCGGGGAAGGAAGGCAGGUGGAGACUUUCGAGUGGAGAGCAGGGAGGUUCCUGGGAAACUUCUUCCCCAAGAAGAAGCUGAAGUCAUCUGCUGAGUCAUGGGAGGAGGAGGGGAAGAGGCUGGUGAACAGGCUGAAGGCACAGGGCCCUGCCACCCUUGCAUCUUGCUCCCGUAACUCUGAUCUCUGGGCCAACACUUCUACCUUGGGAGGAAGACGGGAUGAUUUGGGCCUCCUGAACUUCACAACCAGAGAAGAGGAAGCCAAGGGCUUGAGCAAAAGGGAGUGUGGCCACGGUAUUCCCCUGCCGUGUACUUGCUUUGUCCACUGGGUCAUGCAGGUGGCUGAGAACAGGCAGCAGGCAGAGUAGGGGCCGCCGUAAUUCCCCAGGCACUGAAGGUCCUGGGGAUACUCCUGGGGCAGGGAAAGAUCAAGGAGGAGGCCGCGAGGCAGG